CUUUCGAUAGCUCAGUUGGUAGAGCGGAGGACUGUAGAGGUUCUAUAUGGAUAUCCUUAGGUUGCUGGUUCAAAUCCGGUUCGAAGGA
This 88-nucleotide transfer RNA is filed under the name Astyanax mexicanus (Mexican tetra). It matches the Rfam family "tRNA". Rfam says of the family: Transfer RNA (tRNA) molecules are approximately 80 nucleotides in length. Their secondary structure includes four short double-helical elements and three loops (D, anti-codon, and T loops). The record is from Rfam by way of RNAcentral. Lineage: Eukaryota; Metazoa; Chordata; Actinopteri; Characiformes; Acestrorhamphidae.